UAAUCGCCUUCACGACAUUA
Molecule: non-coding RNA, 20 nt
Filed under: Arabidopsis thaliana (thale cress)
Lineage: Eukaryota; Viridiplantae; Streptophyta; Magnoliopsida; Brassicales; Brassicaceae
Source: RNAcentral